UACAGAGACUGCAAGCGUUACUCGGAAUUACUGGGCGUAAAGCGUGCGUAGGUGGUUUGUUAAGUCUGUUGUGAAAGCCCCGGGCUCAACCUGGGAAUGGCAAUGGAUACUGGCAAGCUAGAGUGCGGUAGAGGGUAGUGGAAUUCCCGGUGUAGCGGUGAAAUGCGUAGAGAUCGGGAGGAACACCAGUGGCGAAGGCGGCUACCUGGACCAGCACUGACACUGAGGCACGAAAGCGUGGGGAGCGAACAGG
This 253-nucleotide ribosomal RNA is filed under the name uncultured bacterium. RNAcentral's name for it is "partial 16S ribosomal RNA". It matches the Rfam family "Bacterial small subunit ribosomal RNA", at positions 524 to 776 of the family's 1533-position model. The record is from RNAcentral.